Molecule: long non-coding RNA, 531 nt
Filed under: Oryza sativa (Asian cultivated rice)
Lineage: Eukaryota; Viridiplantae; Streptophyta; Magnoliopsida; Poales; Poaceae
Description: long non-coding RNA (OSAT_LNC000920)
Source: RNAcentral
AUCUAAUUAAUCCAUGUUAAUAUUAUGUUAUUAACUGCAUCUCAAGUGUGACUGUUAUUUUAAAAUUCACUUUAAAUAUGCGAAAUUCAUCCAACUUUUCAGACUAUACAGAGCUGCUCAACUCAAUAGGUACACCACACAAUUGCAAACAAAUUAAAGACUGCGAAGUAUACAAACUUAAUUGAACACCUCACAGCUUAUGACAGAGAGUAAAUGUUUCGUCAACUGCUUGUUUGUUUCAAGUACAAUGCACAAUGCACACACACAACAGCUAGCAAGUUGAACCCUAACUGCUUCAAUCAGGUUCCAACAUCCAUUGUUACAGUGCUCAAAUUUUAGUUUAAUUCGCUCUCACAAUGGUACGAGCAAACUCCCCCAAAUUCAAACCAAUCCAAGUCCACCCAAACUCAAACAAUUGGAGCUCAUGGUCAACAUUCACUUGGAAUUUUUCCCCCUUCUCAUAGCAUCAAAAGUUCAAAACUCGUCCAACAGCAGCAAUCAGCAAGCGAGCACCAAAACUCUCAUCCAUCC